AAGACAACUCUCAACAACGGAUAUCUAGGCUCCCGUAACGAUGAAGAACGCAGCGAAAUGCGAUACGUAGUGUGAAUUGCAGAAUUCCGUGAACCAUCGAAUCUUUGAACGCAUAUUGCGCUCGAGGCUUCGGCCGAGAGCAUGUCUGCCUCAGCGUC
RNAcentral lists this ribosomal RNA (158 nucleotides) under Lobosphaera incisa. Its description in RNAcentral is "5.8S ribosomal RNA". It matches the Rfam family "5.8S ribosomal RNA". Rfam says of the family: 5.8S ribosomal RNA (5.8S rRNA) is a component of the large subunit of the eukaryotic ribosome. Lineage: Eukaryota; Viridiplantae; Chlorophyta; Trebouxiophyceae; Trebouxiales; Trebouxiaceae. The record is from RNAcentral.